This 501-nucleotide ribosomal RNA is filed under the name uncultured bacterium PHOS-HC12. RNAcentral describes it as "bacterial SSU rRNA". It matches the Rfam family "Bacterial small subunit ribosomal RNA", at positions 97 to 613 of the family's 1533-position model. The record is from RNAcentral.
GGCGCACGGGUGAGUAACACGUAAGUAAUCUACCCCCGGGUGGGGAAUAACGUCGGGAAACCGACGCUAAUACCGCAUAAUGCAGCGGCACCGCAAGGUGACAGUUGUUAAAGGCGAAAGUCGCCUGAGGAGGAGCUUGCGGCAGAUUAGCUAGUUGGUAAGGUAAUGGCUUACCAAGGCUACGAUCUGUAACCGGUCUAAGAGGACGGUCGGUCACACUGACACUGAAUAACGGGUCAGACUCCUACGGGAGGCAGCAGUCGGGAAUUUUGGGCAAUGGGCGAAAGCCUGACCCAGCAACGCCGCGUGAAGGAUGAAGUAUUUCGGUAUGUAAACUUCGUAAAAAUAGGAAGAAUAAAUGACGGUACUAUUUGUAAGGUCCGGCUAACUACGUGCCAGCAGCCGCGGUAAUACGUAGGGACCAAGCGUUGUUCGGAUUUACUGGGCGUAAAGGGCGCGUAGGCGGCGUGACAAGUCACUUGUGAAAUCUCCGGGCUUAAC